AUUGAACGCUGGCGGCAGGCCUAACACAUGCAAGUCGAACGAGUGGCGGACGGGUGCGUAAUGUCUGGGAAACUGCCCGAUGGAGGGGGAUAACUACUGGAAACGGUAGAUAAUACCGCAUACAAUCGGAUGUGCCCAGAUGGGUUUAGCUAGUCGGUGGGGUAACGGCUCACCUAGGUGACGAUCCCUAGCUGGUCUGAGAGGAUGACCAGCAACUCUGGAACUGGGACACGGUCCAGAGUCCAACGGGAGGCAGCAGUGGGGAAUAUUGCACAAUGGGCGCAAGCCUGAUGCGGCCAUGCCGCGUGUAUGAGGAAGGCCUUCGGGUUUUAAAGUACUUUCAGCGAGGAUGCGUUACUCACAGAGGAAGCACCGGCUAACUCCGUGCCAGCAGCCGCGGUAAUUC
This 406-nucleotide ribosomal RNA is filed under the name uncultured bacterium. RNAcentral describes it as "partial 16S ribosomal RNA". It matches the Rfam family "Bacterial small subunit ribosomal RNA", at positions 30 to 526 of the family's 1533-position model. The record is from RNAcentral.